This 252-nucleotide ribosomal RNA is filed under the name uncultured bacterium. RNAcentral's name for it is "partial 16S ribosomal RNA". It matches the Rfam family "Bacterial small subunit ribosomal RNA", at positions 524 to 776 of the family's 1533-position model. The record is from RNAcentral.
UACGUAGGGAGCAAGCGUUGUCCAGAAUUACUGGGUGUAAAGGGAGCGUAGGCGGGAUAGUAAGUUGAUUGUUAAUACUAUCGGCUCAACUGAUAGAUGCGAUCAAAACUGCAAUUCUUGAGUGAAGUAGAGGCAGGCGGAAUUCCUAGUGUAGCGGUGAAAUGCGUAGAUAUUAGGAGGAACACCAGUGGCGAAGGCGGCCUGCUGGGCUUUAACUGACGCUGAGGCUCGAAAGUGUGGGUAGCAAACAGG